RNAcentral lists this ribosomal RNA (362 nucleotides) under Escherichia coli. RNAcentral's name for it is "bacterial SSU rRNA". It matches the Rfam family "Bacterial small subunit ribosomal RNA", at positions 129 to 486 of the family's 1533-position model. The record is from RNAcentral. Lineage: Bacteria; Pseudomonadati; Pseudomonadota; Gammaproteobacteria; Enterobacterales; Enterobacteriaceae.
CCUGAUGGAGGGGGAUAACUACUGGAAACGGUAGCUAAUACCGCAUAACGUCGCAAGACCAAAGAGGGGGACCUUCGGGCCUCUUGCCAUCGGAUGUGCCCAGAUGGGAUUAGCUAGUAGGUGGGGUAACGGCUCACCUAGGCGACGAUCCCUAGCUGGUCUGAGAGGAUGACCAGCCACACUGGAACUGAGACACGGUCCAGACUCCUACGGGAGGCAGCAGUGGGGAAUAUUGCACAAUGGGCGCAAGCCUGAUGCAGCCAUGCCGCGUGUAUGAAGAAGGCCUUCGGGUUGUAAAGUACUUUCAGCGGGGAGGAAGGGAGUAAAGUUAAUACCUUUGCUCAUUGACGUUACCCGCAGAA